Molecule: transfer RNA, 75 nt
Filed under: Gammaproteobacteria bacterium HGW-Gammaproteobacteria-1
Lineage: Bacteria; Pseudomonadati; Pseudomonadota; Gammaproteobacteria
Description: tRNA-Lys
Rfam family: tRNA
About the family: Transfer RNA (tRNA) molecules are approximately 80 nucleotides in length. Their secondary structure includes four short double-helical elements and three loops (D, anti-codon, and T loops).
Source: RNAcentral
GCGGGCGUAGCUCAGCGGUAGAGCACCCGGCUUUUAACCGGAGUGUCGCAAGUUCAACCCUUGCCGCCCGCACCA